AGGGUUUGAUUAUGGCUCAGGAUGAACGCUGGCGGCGUGCUUAACACAUGCAAGUCGAACGAAGCUCUGAUCAUCGAGUUUUCGGACAAGAUGAGAGGAAGACUUAGUGGCGGACGGGUGAGUAACGCGUGAGCAACCUGCCUCAGAGUGGGGGACAACAGUUGGAAACGACUGCUAAUACCGCAUAACAUAACGUUAAGGCAUCUUGAUGUUAUCAAAGAUUUAUUGCUCUGAGAUGGGCUCGCGUCUGAUUAGCUAGUAGGUGAGGUAACGGCUCACCUAGGCGACGAUCAGUAGCCGGACUGAGAGGUUGGCCGGCCACAUUGGGACUGAGAUACGGCCCAG
RNAcentral lists this ribosomal RNA (345 nucleotides) under uncultured bacterium. Its description in RNAcentral is "bacterial SSU rRNA". It matches the Rfam family "Bacterial small subunit ribosomal RNA", at positions 8 to 334 of the family's 1533-position model. The record is from RNAcentral.